UACAGAGGGUGCGAGCGUUAAUCGGAAUUCCUGGGCGUAAAGCGUGCGUAGACGGUUAUUUAAGUCGGAUGUGAAAGCCCCGGGCUCAACCUGGGAAUUGCAUUCGAGACUGAAUAGCUAGGGUGCGGUAGAGGGAAGCGGAAUUUCCGGUGUAGCGGUGAAAUGCGUAGAUAUCGGAAGGAACAUCAGUGGCGAAAGCGGCUUCCUGGACCAGCACCGACGUUCAGGCACGAAAGCGUGGGGAGCGAACAGG
RNAcentral lists this ribosomal RNA (253 nucleotides) under uncultured bacterium. RNAcentral's name for it is "partial 16S ribosomal RNA". It matches the Rfam family "Bacterial small subunit ribosomal RNA", at positions 524 to 776 of the family's 1533-position model. The record is from RNAcentral.